AGUGAACGCUGGCGGUAGGCCUAACACAUGCAAGUCGAACGGUAGCACAGUAAGAGCUUGCUCUUACGGGUGGCGAGUGGCGGACGGGUGAGGAAUACAUCGGAAUCUACUUUUUCGUGGGGGAUAACGUAGGGAAACUUACGCUAAUACCGCAUACGACCUACGGGUGAAAGCAGGGGAUCUUCGGACCUUGCGCGAUUGAAUGAGCCGAUGUCGGAUUAGCUAGUUGGCGGGGUAAAGGCCCACCAAGGCGACGAUCCGUAGCUGGUCUGAGAGGAUGAUCAGCCACACUGGAACUGAGACACGGUCCAGACUACUACGGGAGGCAGCAGUGGGGAAUAUUGGACAAUGGGCGCAAGCCUGAUCCAGCCAUAACGCGUGGGUGAAGAAGGCCUUCGGGUUGUAAAGCCCUUUUGUUGGGAAAGAAAAGCAGCAGGUUAAUACCCCGCUGUUCUGACGGUACCCAAAGAAUAAGCACCGGCUAACUUCGU
RNAcentral lists this ribosomal RNA (491 nucleotides) under uncultured bacterium. RNAcentral's name for it is "partial 16S ribosomal RNA". It matches the Rfam family "Bacterial small subunit ribosomal RNA", at positions 29 to 506 of the family's 1533-position model. The record is from RNAcentral.